Molecule: long non-coding RNA, 7659 nt
Organism: Cavia porcellus (domestic guinea pig)
Lineage: Eukaryota; Metazoa; Chordata; Mammalia; Rodentia; Caviidae
Exons: 4
Source: RefSeq, a predicted model, not a curated record
GCUUCAAGGAAAAACAGAAGCAACUAUUUGCUUGUCCUGUGGGGCGGGGUUUCUUGGAGGCUUCCAGCUGUCCCACUAGGGAUCUCUAGGCCCACACAGGUUGGAACGUGAGGUGCUCUCCAGGCAAACUGAGUGAGGUGAUUUCGUCUUUCUCCGCCCUGGCUAGGCCAGAAGAGAGGUGUAACUAAGCUUUCCACAGUUCACCAGCAAAGACAUCCAGAACUAGGUGUGUUCUCAAGGAGGAGGCUAAGAGGAAAAGAGUUUGGAGCUCGGUACAUUUUCUGAGAGGAAGCACCACAAGGCCUCAUGUUUUUAGCUGAUUUAAGAAACAAAAAGCCAAAGAGCAAACAGCAAUAUCUUCAACCUCUUUCAUUCCACCCUAAGACCAAGAAAGAGUGACUUCUUGCAGCAACAGUCUAUACUUUCCCCUAUUUACCUCAAAAAUCAGAAGAUAAGCAUCAAAUUACAUGUCACACCCAAUGAUAGAUUGUUGAGAAAUAUGCACACUCUUAACUGUCAAGGUUUAUAAAGUGCAGCUUUCUUUACUCCUUCUUUAUCCUUCUGCUUCUUCUUUCCCUCCUAAAUCUUACACACUGCCAGAAUGGACCCAAUCUUGACUCCACCUCCCAGUAUAAAGAUAACAAAAGUUAUUUAAAAUAAAAAGCAGACUUGAAGAGUUGACCUGGGGAGAGGGGUGUGUUCAGAUUGGGAGCAAGUGAAGCAAAGUGGGAAGAACAGAGGAGAGUUAAGUGUCCUUCAGGCCUGGGAAGGAUAAAGAAGUCAAACACUAUGAACAAUAAAUAUCUGCAUUCUUAAUUCAUGUUUCUGAAAUCAGUGCACUGCUCUGACCUAGAAGAAACAAAAUUGUUCACUUUAUCAAUUUUUGCUUGCUUUGUUGUGACCCAAAGGCCAUAUUCCCUGUAGGAGCGCUGCUAGAAUCUGUUGCCCCUCUGCCAAUAUUGUACAUAUCCUGGAGUACAGCAUUAAAUUUAAUGCCUGGAAAAGAUAAAGAUAUAUUGGACAAGAAAAGCUAGCUGGAAAAAGAUUGUGAGAAUAGACUUAGUUUACAAACUAUGCCAUAUUGGAUGCAUUUAUAUAUGCCUCUACUUCUUUGUAUUUUUGUUUGCUUGUUUUAUUUUGUUUUCUUUACUUUAGGUUUUUUUUGUUUUUGUUUUUUGUUACCAGCAAUCAAAUUUCCAAUUUAGCACUUGCCAAACAGGCAUUGUGCUGUUGAGCUAUAUCCCUGGUCCAUGCCUCUACAACUUUAAAUACCAAUAUUCUCACCUGUUGCCUUUUCAGAGAUACUGUUAGAAAUUCAAAGAAUUGUCAAAAACAGUAAGUAUGAUGCAGAGGUAGCUUUAUAGUAAUAUUAAUGAAUUUAGGCUUUAGGUCCCUUUUCCAAGACUUUGGAAAGAAUAAAAUAUAUUUUUCAUAGAAAGGGUUCCCAUAGUUUAAAGUUUCAGCCUCCACAAAACCUGUAUCAGUUUCUGAUGAGAUUUGAGCUUACAAACCGCAGUGCCUGCAAUACAUGAAGGAAGUUUUCAUAAAGGUUAUUAUUAGUAGUAUUGGCAGCUAUGAAAAGUAUGAACUUUAAGAUUCUUUCUGAUCAUAGAUAUAAGGAUCAUGCUCUUUGUUCCUAAUAAUCCCUAUAUAUAUAAAUAAACUAAGUCAUAAAAAUAAGAACUAAACUGCUUGCUCACAUUGGGAGGAAUGGUUAAAUUUAACUUAGGAAUAACCAAUAGUUCAGGGCCAUACAGCCAGAGUUUGAAGCUAUCCUGGCACAGUAUUAUUUCCUACAAGUGAUAGCAGGCCUACUAACUCCUAUAAGUUAUGUUGUGCCUUGGGCUGCUUAUUUUAUGAGCAAAGAGCUUGGCUAGGGUGUGUGUGUGUGUGUGUGUGUGUGUGUGUGUGUGUGUUAAUAGGAGGUUGGGUAUACAUAGAUUUUUCCUGCCAUUUUAGACCCUAGAAGCUACCAUAUCAAUAAAUUGGAAGGAGGAAGAGACUUUAUAAUAGAAAGCAAGACAAACCUGAGAAACCUGUAACCUCAGUUUCACCUGCAGAAAAGGGGUAACAUCCUUGGCUUUCUCUCCAAAAUAUACAUGAAUGGAUCAUUUGAGUGUACUGUUGAGUGAACCAAGCAAAGACAUGCAUCUUACUUUUCAUAUUAAACAAAUAAAGAUAUGAGGCAGUUUAAGGAAAUGUAUAAAUAGAACAGGAAAUCUUGUAUUACUGAACUAAUCUAGAGAAGUGGUACCCAAAAGCCCUAAAGGGAAGGUUUAUACUUAUAGAUUUUGUGUUACUUACCACAAGUAAUUCUCACUUCCUCAUCAGAGGGGUGCUGUCCAUCUAACUGCUUUCUCCCAGAGCAAAAGGAGAUUUUCCUUUACCCUUCUGUCCAGUUUAGUCUUAUCACUUCCCUCAGAAAGUAAAAGUGAAAAAGGAAAGAGGGAGUAUUUUUGAUGAUUUCUUACAAUCUUUCUGCCAGUGCAUUUAUUGAAAUGUUGCCAUUUUAUUCUUUAUUCUCUCCAUUUUUUGUUUAACCUUAUAUCCCUGCAUUGUGGUAGUCUGUUUUCCUCAAAUCAGAAAAGUACCACAGAUAUAGUUGGAGUAUCCUAGUGUGGAACCUCAAUGACACAUUUCCUUCUCAAGACAUGAUGGAAGUAGAUUUAAAAGAAUACAGCAACCAGACAUGAUGGGGCAGUCCUGUAAUCCCAGCACUAGGGAGGCUGAGGCAGGAAAAUCACUGUGAGUUACAGACCAGACUGAACUGAUAAUGAGACCCUGUCUCAAAAAAACAAAAUAAAAAAAAAAACAAGAAAACAAAACAAACAAAAAGAGAAUAUUAGACAGGCAUAUUAGUCUUUAUAAAGUGAGGUAAUGGUUUGAUCAAGAAAAAAAUUCUAAUUAGUUGAUUAGUAUAUCAUGGGCAUAUAGCUGAUUAUGCUUGUGUGCAUAGUAGAAACACACAGUUGAAAUAAUCAGGACUAUGUGAAAAAAUAGAGUGAUUAUUCACAAACAUGUUAAAAAUAAAAUUUUGAACCACACAUUUUACCACAGAUUCAUCAACUGAUCAUAGAAUGUUGGUAUCAUGAGGCCUAAAGAGUUUAUUUUAAUAUGUGACAUGAAUACUAAUAGUGAAAUGAAAGAUUAUAUUAGAUUAUAUAUAAGUAAUAUUGUCUAAUAGAAUUUAUUUAUUUUAUGGUAACCUACUAUUAUGGUUUAUAUAUUGUGUCAACUUGUGAAGUUUAUGCCAGGGAUUUAGCUCAGUGGUGUAAGUGCCUGCCUAGCAAGCGGAGGUUGUGAGUUGGAUCCCUGGUAAUGGAAAAAAAAAGCUAGAAACACCACUGCUGGAGGUUUAGUUCAUUGUUAUAAGAGCCUGCCUGGCAAGUGUGAGGUCAUAAUUUCAAGGCCCUUGUACCAAAAAAAAAAAAAAUCAACUUGUGAAGUUUAGAAUCCUAAUCAAAUAACUCAGCAGCUGCACAUCCUGGGCGUAGAGGGCAAAUCAUUACCAUUCUAAGAUAUUGUUCAUCGUGUCAAUUUGAGAAGGUAAGAAAUUUAACCAAAUGAUUCAUCAGUGGGCCGAGGUCCUUAGUUUGUAACAUCCUCAGCCUGUGUAAGAGGAGGGCAUGAAUAUGGUGCCAGUGUAACACCCACCCCAGGGGAAUUGCUUGCAUACAAUAAAAGGCAAAUUAGGAAUUACUGAUUGCUGGUUCUUUGGAGGAGCUCCAGUCUUGGUCUUCAGCUUGAAGGUCAUCUCCUGGCUUCUGACAAAUACUGUUCAGUUUCAAUCUGGGACUCUUCAGCCUUCAUGAUAUACUCUUCAGCCUUCUGUUGUGGAUUCUUUAGCCUUCCAUCGCAGACCCAUCGACCUCCUCAUACAGACUUGCACAGGAUACUGCUGUAAGCUCCAGCCUUUGGAAUGGACCCUUCAGUCUCCAGUGUACAGAUGCCUUCUGCAUGCUCCCCCAUCCAACUUUGUGGCUGAUCAUUCCAUCAUGAACUGCAGCCCCGCCAUACCAGCCUGCCUUGGAGCCAACUGAGUAUGGACUGAAACCUCCAAAAACUGUAAGAAAUAAACCUUUCCUUUCCCAACUUUGGUCAUCAGGUAUUUUGUCUCAGCGACAAGUAAAAAGUAACUAAGACAGCAACUUUAUUAAAAAAUGGAAAGAAAACCUUAAAUUCAUGAAAUAAGGAAUGAAAAGAGUGAAAUCACUACAUACCCCAUGGAAACACAGAACAUCAUAAAUACCUACUUUAAAAAGCAUUACUCUCAUAGGAUUGAUAACACAGAAGAAAUAAACAGAUUCCAAAAUACAUAUAAAUUACCAAAGUUGUGUCAAGAAAAUGUUAAACUGCUGAAUAACCCAAUUUUAAUUAAUGAAAUUCAAAAUGCGACUAGAACAUUAGCAACAAAGGAAAGCACAGGUCCUGAUGGAUUCAAAGCUGAAUUCUACAAGAAAUUCAAUAAAAAUUAAUGCUAACACUUCUCAAAUUCUUCAAUGAAAUUGAAAGGGAAGCAGUUCUUCCCAACUCAUUCCUGGAAGCCAGUAUUACCCUAGAUACUAAACCAGAGAAAGACCCAAUGAGAAAAGCAAACAAAUACCUAAACCAGAGAAAGACCCAAUGAGAAAAGCAAACAAAAAAUCAGUCUCCCAAUGAACAUAGAUGCAAAUACUGGCAAAUAAAACUCAGCAAGUCAUCAAGAAGAUUAUAAACCACAAUCAACUGGGACUCAUCCCAGGAUUACAGGGGUGUUUCAACAUAUGCAAAUCAAUAAAUGUAACUCAUCAUGUUAAUAGAGCUAAAGAUAAGAAUCACAUGAUUACUUCAAUAGAUGCAUAGAAAGCUUUUGAUAAAGUCCAACACUUGUUCAUGAUAAGAACCCUAAGGAAAGUUGUAAGAGAUGGUUCUUACCUUAAUCUGAUAAAAGCCAUCUAUGACAAACAGCCAGCAUCAGAAAAGGAUGUCCAUUGUCACCACUCCUAUUCAAUACAAUGCCAGAAACAUUAGCCUGAACAAUUAGACUAGAGAGAAAAAUAAAAGGAAUAAGGAUAGAAAAACAAGAAUUUGAAUUAUCAUUAUUUGCAGAUGACAUAAUAUUCUACAUAAAAGAUCCCCAAAAUUCCAUUGAAAGACAUCUAGAUGUAAUAACCAAAUUCAAUAAUGUAGUUGGAUACAAAGUCAACACUCAAAAAUUGAUAGCAUUUCUGUACACAAACAGAAAACUCACUGAAAGACAAAUAAGAGAACCUGCGCCAUUCACAGUACAAUCCAAAAAAAUGAAGUACUUAGGAAUCAAUUUAACAAAGAAAGUAAAUGAUCUAUGUAGUAAAAAUUAUGAUAUUCUGAAAAAAGAAAUCAGAGGAUCUUGAAAAUGAAAUUAUAUUCCCUGUUAAUGGAUAGCAAGAACAAACAGUGUGAAAAUGGUCAUUCUCCCAAAAUGGUAUACAGAUUUAAUGCAAUUCCAAAAAAAUACCAUUAGCAUACCAAAAAGAUCUAAAGAAAUCAUUCCUAAAAUUUAUCUGGAAUCAAAAGAGACCUAGAAUAGCAAAGGCAAUUUUAGCCAACAAUGGCAAGGCAGGAAGGAUCACAAUCCUUAACUUUGAAUUUACACUGCAAAGCUACUGUGACAAAAUCAGCAGGAUACUGGAAUAGAAACAGCCCUGAAGAUCAGUGGAAUAGAUUAGAAGAUAGGACCACAACUACAAACACUAAACCAUUUAUCUUUGACAAAGGGUCCAAACAUGUUCACUGGAAGAAAGAUAGCCUCUUUAAAAAGUUGUGUUGGGGGGCUGGGGAUUUAGCUUAGCGGCAUAAGUGCCUGCCUUGCAAGCAGGCAGUCGUGAGUUCAAUCCCUGGUACCGAUAAAAACAAAAAAGACCAAAAAAAAAAAAAAGUUGUGUUGGGAAAACUGGCUUUCUACUUGCCAAAACUUAAAACUAGACCCACACCUAUCACAAUGUACUAGACUAAAGUCAAAAUGGAUCAAUGAUGUAAGUACUAAAACAGAAACAUUUAAUCUGAUGGAGCACACAGUAGGUAGAAAUCAUGAAGACAUAGAUGUAGGCAGAGAAUUAAUGAAAAUUAUCAAAUUGCAUGGAAAUAAUUCCCAGAAUCAAUAACUGGGAUCUCAUCUUAUUAAAAAGAUUUUCCAUGUCAAAAGGUAUCUCCAACAAAGUGAAAAGAAAUUCCAUGAAAUGGCAAAAAAUCUUAGUCAACUGUCCCUCAGACAAAGGAUUUCUAUAUAAAACAGAUAAAGAAUUUUUAAAAAUUCAGACCCUCCAAAUUCAAAGAUACAAUUCAUAAAUGGGUAUCUGAGAUGAAUACAUACUUCUCAGCUGAAGAAGUACAAAGGGACAAAUAAAUACAUUAUAUAAUGUUAAGCAUCAUUGGUCACUAGAUAAAUGCAAAUUAAAACCACACUGAGAGGGGAAUGGGGGGCAUGGUGGAUGGGUAGAUAGCAUGGUAAAGCACCUCUCUUACAACAACAACUCAGAUGCUAGAAUGUAACAUCAUGGAGAAGACCAGAUGAAAGGACAGGGAUUCUCACAAUGUAGAAAGAAACUGAGGAAAAAGAAUAGAAUAGAAUAGGAAAAAGAAAAAGUAUAGAAUAGAAUAGAACAGAAAAGAAAAGAAAAAAGAAAGAGGACAGAAGGCUGGAGCUAGAUGCUCUUUCACUGGAGCUGGUCCCAUGCUGUGCUGGACACCUUGGAGUCGCUGAAGUCAUGGUCACACUGAAAUCGGGGGGUUGGUGAGCCCAAGGACCUUGGCAGGAGGAUGUCCUUCAAUGAAGAGCUAAACUGGUACAGAGACCUGCACUAACCUGUGGUGAGUGCUAGGAAUUUGGUCCCAUGAAGGGGGUGACCAGCUGGAAGACAUAUUGGAGUUGGGCAGGAUGGACCUGAAUCUGGAACCACAGUGGCCUCAGUUGACUGAUUUUAUUUGAAUCUGGUAUGUUUGAUAGUAUCAAGUCUAAGAAUAUAGUCAAGUACUCCAAAGAUGACAAGAUUUAAUAGAAUACCCAUUCUGGUUUCGAUUAUCAACUGCUUUUGAAGUUCUAUAAUGUCUCCAAUCUUUUGUUUUUAUUAAUAUUGCCAUGUACUGCUAUGUUCAAUUAUAAUAUGCCUGAUGAUAUAGACAAUUAUAUUGAAAAUAACAAAAGACAUCAUAGUAACUACUGUAGACACCUAGUAUUGUGGUUUUAUGUGUCAUUGUUUCAUGUUUUUCUAGAAAUUUGUUUUGUUGUCUUAUUUUAAUUUGUUUUUCUUUCUAAUAUAGAAAAGAUAGGUAUACAUGUAAAGAAUCACACAUGCGUAGAAUUUCUAAACAUUUUACCAGAAUUGAUUAUAUAAUGCAUGAUAUAAUGAACAGAUACUCCGAAGAAAAAGGGACACUAAGAUACUGAGAGCUAAUUCCAUAGCAUCAUGAUAUAAACUCUAGCAAUACUAUUACUCUCUGUUCAGAGUGAUAUUCGUCUGUUUUCCUUUGUUUAAUUUCAACAUACAUAAAGAUAUGGAAAGAUAUUUUGAAUACAAUGAGAGACAUUAUGGCAGCCAUUGUUGACUUCCUAUUAUCCAGUCUUGAAGACCUAAAAUGUCUUCAUCAUCCUGUUCUGAUCAGUUUAAUAUUACUAUGUUUUUUGGUCAUUUUCCUUUUUAU